CAACUAAACAGAGAUCCAGCAUGUUGGUUGUGGUUAACACAGUGACAACUAAACAGAGAUCCAACAUGUUGGUUGUGGUUAACACAGUGACAACUAAACAGAGAUCCAACAUGGUGGUUGUGGUUAACACAGUGACAACUAAACAGAGAUCCAACAUGUUGGUUGUGGUUAACACAGUGACAACUAAACAGAGAUCCAACAUGUUGGUUGUGGUUAACACAGUGACAACUAAACAUAGAUCCAGCAUGUUGGUUGUGGCUAAUACUGUAAUACUGUAUCUGAUAGAGCAGAUUCUGCAGGUAAAACAUUGUGUUUCUAUAUAGUACUGUAUCUGAAAGAGGUAAAACAUUGUGUUUCUAUAUAGUACUGUAUCUGAAAGAGCAGAUUCUGCAGGUAAAACAUUGUGUUUCUAUAUAGUACUGUAUCUGAAAGAGCAGAUUCUGUAGGUAAAACAUUGUGUUUCUAUAUAAUAC
This is a long non-coding RNA of Salvelinus fontinalis (brook trout), 473 nucleotides long. RefSeq lists it as uncharacterized. Lineage: Eukaryota; Metazoa; Chordata; Actinopteri; Salmoniformes; Salmonidae. The transcript has 3 exons. The record is from RefSeq and is a predicted model, not a curated record.